RNAcentral lists this ribosomal RNA (429 nucleotides) under Acidobacteriota bacterium. RNAcentral describes it as "Acidobacteria bacterium partial 16S ribosomal RNA". It matches the Rfam family "Bacterial small subunit ribosomal RNA", at positions 355 to 776 of the family's 1533-position model. Lineage: Bacteria; Pseudomonadati; Acidobacteriota. The record is from RNAcentral.
UGGGGAAUUUUGGACAAUGGGCGAAAGCCUGAUCCAGCAAUGCCGCGUGUGUGAAGAAGGCCUUCGGGUUGUAAAGCACUUUUGUCCGGAAAGAAAUGGCUCUGGUUAAUACCUGGGGUCGAUGACGGUACCGGAAGAAUAAGGCCCGGCUAACUACGUGCCAGCAGCCGCGGUAAUACGUAGGGUCCAAGCGUUAAUCGGAAUUACUGGGCGUAAAGCGUGCGCAGGCGGUUGUGCAAGACCGAUGUGAAAUCCCCGAGCUUAACUUGGGAAUUGCAUUGGUGACUGCACGGCUAGAGUGUGUCAGAGGGGGGUAGAAUUCCACGUGUAGCAGUGAAAUGCGUAGAGAUGUGGAGGAAUACCGAUGGCGAAGGCAGCCCCCUGGGAUAACACUGACGCUCAUGCACGAAAGCGUGGGGAGCAAACAGG